This 2428-nucleotide long non-coding RNA is filed under the name Heterocephalus glaber (naked mole-rat). Its description in RNAcentral is "lncRNA (ENSHGLG00100035139.1)". Lineage: Eukaryota; Metazoa; Chordata; Mammalia; Rodentia; Bathyergidae. The record is from RNAcentral.
CGUGACCCUGAUGCACCAAUGGUUGUCUGAACUGGAGUCCUAGGCUCAUGCGCAUCAGCGGCCUCUGGUUUUGCGCAGUAACUUCCCUUUCUUAAGAGAGGUGCUUAGGUCCCUGGGAUGACCCCAAGAAGAAACAGGGAUGUCUGUGCCAGAGCUUUCAGCUGUGUUCUGGACGUUCCCCCCUUGUUGCCUGAACCCCAGAACGUUUGGGGAGGCAGUGGGCUCUUUCUGACCCCCUGGGCAGCAUUCUUGCCUCUCUUCUCAUGCUCCCUCACUCACUCCCAUAGACUGGUUUUUGUCUCUGUCCCUGCCUCUCCCCUGAGCCCCUUUACCUAAGAACCCCACAGGACAACCCCCGGAUGCCCCCUGGGUCUGUCACACCCACCAGUUCCCACAAUGGCCUCAGAAUCUCCCUCAAACUCUUCUCCCCAGUCUCCUUCAUAGACUUGACCCCGCAGACCCUCUUUGCAAGCCAGAACCCUGAACCUUGUGCUGGCCAUAUCUUUCCCAUAGAACCCAUCAGUCCCAUGGCCCAUGCUCUCGGCGCUCCCUGCCCUCCAGUCUCCCUGCCUUGUCCCAGCCUGGGCUCCCAGCUUGUCUCCACUCUCCAGUCCAUCCUCCACAUGACAGCCAUAGGGAUCUCCUUGACCCUUUUCUUUCCCUGCCUGAAACCCUCCUGACUCCCUCGCAGCCUUGGGACACAACCCCCACUCUGCUGUCUGGCAUAUGAGACUGCAUCCUCUGACCCUGCACAUCCCUCCAUCCCUGUCUCCUCACUCUCCAGUCUGGGUCGCACCUCUCUGUUUUUGCACAUGCCCUUGCCUUGGAAUGUUCCUCUCAAUCUUCAUGAUUUUUCUUAUGAAUUCUUGAGGAUACUCUCUUAUCACCCCAGGGUGGGUCAGGUACAACUUCUGGCCUUCUGUAGCCCUUGAGUUCCCCAUCAUAGCCCUGGCCACUCUGGGCUGUCACUGCCUAACGCCUGGACUGUGGAAACUAUGGAGUAGAGCUGAGGGUGUCUUUGUCACUGUUGUGUCCCCAGCCUUAUUCAGCCCAGAACCUAGCCCAGAAAGGGCCUUGUUGGAUGCCCAGUAACUGAGAAAGGGUUUGCCCCUUUCCUCUGUCUCUCCCUGGGCCUGUGGCCUCGGACCAGCCUUUUGUCUCCAGUGUCUCGGUGUCUUGCUGUUCACCUGUGCUCUUCUUUUGGGGAACCACUGAGAUGAAGAAAGUCCCUGCGUCAGUCAUGGACCAGGAGCAUCCCAGGAUGAGCUGACUCGGAGUCCAGGAGAGGCUUCAUUAGUCCUCCAGCUAUGGCCUUGCUGUGUGCCAUGGCCAUCUAAAGAGCUCGCCUGAGCCACAGAACCCCCGACUCAGGCUGGAUGAGGUCAAUAUGAGUCCUUCCCCCAGGAAGCAGCUUCGGUUCAAAAGAGCAGGCCAGGCAGUAACUUUAUUGACCAUAUGACCCUGGGAGUGCUAAUAGGGGGCCCUUGGGCUUUGCCCCAGCAGCCUCCGCUGCAGUUCUUGGCUGAGCAGAGACUGUUCCCUGCGGGCACCCUGCAGCACGCUUCGGUUCUCCUGCGCCCUCCGGAUCAGGGGAUUGAACUUGGGACCUUGUGCUUUCAAGCCAGGUGGUGGAACCACUGAGCUAAAUCCCCGGCUCUGUACAUUCUUUUUUUUAUCAUUAUUCCCUAAACAAUACAGUAUAACAACUAUUUAUUUACCUCUUACAUUGUGUUAGAUAAUAUAAGUAAUUUUUAGAUGAUUUAAAACAUAUGGGAGGAUGUGUGUAGGUUAUAUGCAAAUGUUAUAUGCUAUUUUAUAUGAGGGAUUUGUGCAUCUGAGGAUUUUGCUAUCUGUAGAUUUUGAUCUCCGUGGGUGCAGGGAGUAUUCUGGAGCCAGUUCUCCAGGAUAAUGAAAGAUGACUGUCAUUUCAAACUCAGUGAUGUUAUGGUUUGUGUCUAGAGGUCCCCCCAAAGCCUCACGAAGUCAUAGGUGGGGCUUUGCAGAGGUGGCUGGAUUCAAAGUGUGUGAUGCUAGGAUCAAGGAUGUGAUUGAUUCACGAUGCAAUGCUAGGAUUAAGGGUGUGAGUGCUACCCACCCUAGAGGUGGGUAGCCUGGAUAAGAUACAAGGGACAGAAAGAGGGUCCUCCCUUGUCACUUGUUGCCCCUGGUCUCUUUGCUUGCUAGUUGGCUGCCUACUGCCUGCCAUGAACUGUUUCUCUUCCACAGUGCCCCUCUGUCAUGCCACCCUGCCUUGGAGCCAGCAAAUUAUGAACUGAAACCUCUAUAAACUAUGAGCCAAAAUAAACCUUUCCUCCUUUAACUUUGGGUGUCGAUUAUUUUGUUGCAACAAUGGGAAAAAGUAACUAAAACAGUAGUAAACAAGCACUCUUGAGUUUCCCUGAAGACCCUGAGUUCUGGCCAAUUCUUG